Molecule: ribosomal RNA, 442 nt
Filed under: uncultured bacterium
Lineage: Bacteria
Description: partial 16S ribosomal RNA
Rfam family: Bacterial small subunit ribosomal RNA
Source: RNAcentral
CCUACGGGAGGCAGCAGUAGGGAAUCUUUCACAAUGGGCGAAAGCCUGAUGGAGCAACGCCGCGUGCAGGAUGAAGGCCUUCGGGUUGUAAACUGCUUUUAUAAGCGAGAAAUAUUAUAGUAACUUAUGAAUAAGGAUCGGCUAACUACGUGCCAGCAGCCGCGGUCAUACGUAGGAUCCGAGCAUUAUCCGGAGUGACUGGGUGUAAAGAGUUUCGUAGGUGGCAUAAUAAGUAGCUAGUGAAAUCUGGUGGCUCAACCAUUCAGACUAUUAGCUAAACUGUUAAGCUCGAGACCGUUAGGGGUAACUGGAAUUUCUAGUGUAGGAGUGAAAUCCGUAGAUAUUAGAAGGAACACCAAUAGCGUAGGCAGGUUGCUGGGACGGUUCUGACACUAAGGCACGAAAGCGUAGGGAGCAAACGGGAUUAGAUACCCUUGUAGUC